UAUACAUGUAUUCCUCCCAGUUGUGUCGUAUUAGCCGUGAUAGAAAAAGUAAAGAGAGAAAGAUUGGAAAAGUAUGGGGCAUAUUUAGAGGCGUAUGCAAUUAUAUAUUUGGUGAUGAUAAAUACGACCUAAACCAUAAAUGUGAGGUAUUGUGUGGAGCAACGUUUGGUGAUUACAGUCCAAAUUGUAUUUGGUUGCAUUUGCUGGGAGAUAGAAUAAACAGUGUGAAUGCCAAUGGAUGUAGUAUGGUGUAGUCAUGGUUCUACUGUGGCUGUUUACACGUAUCUAUCAGCUAGGGUUCAUGGUCCCC
RNAcentral lists this long non-coding RNA (310 nucleotides) under Vigna radiata. RNAcentral describes it as "long non-coding RNA (VRAD_LNC013220)". Lineage: Eukaryota; Viridiplantae; Streptophyta; Magnoliopsida; Fabales; Fabaceae. The record is from RNAcentral.